GACGAACGCUGGCGGCGUGCUUAACACAUGCAAGUCGAACGGAAAGGCCCCAGCUUGCUGGAGUGCUCGAGUGGCGAACGGGUGAGUAACACGUGGGCAACCUGCCCUGCACUCUGGGAUAAGUCUGGGAAACUGGGUCUAAUACCGGAUAGGACCUUUCUCCUCAUGGGGUUGGGUGGAAAGUUUUGCGGUGCAGGAUGGGCCCGCGGCCUAUGAGCUUGGUGGUGGGGUAAGGGCCUACCAAGGCGGGGACGGGGAGCCGGCCGGAGAGGGGAAGCGGCGAAAUUGGGACUGAGAUACGGCCCAGACCGCGACGGGAGGCAGCAGUGGGGAAUAUUGCACAAUGGGCGGAAGUGUGAUGCAGCAACGCCGGGGGCGGGAUGACGGCCUUAGGGUUGUAAACCGCUGUCGCCUGGGACGAAGCGUGAGUGACGGUAAUGGGUAAAGAAGCACCGGCUAACUACGUG
Molecule: ribosomal RNA, 467 nt
Filed under: uncultured bacterium
Lineage: Bacteria
Description: partial 16S ribosomal RNA
Rfam family: Bacterial small subunit ribosomal RNA
Source: RNAcentral